CUGGAGUGCAAUGGCACGAUCUCAGCUCACUGCAACUUCCGCCUCCCAGGUUCAAGCGAUUCUCCUGCCUCAGCCUCCCCAGUAGCUGGGAUCACAGGUGCCCACCACCACGCCCGACUAUUUUUUUGUAUUUUUAGUAGAGAUGUGGUUUCACCAUGUUGGCCAGGCUGGUCUCGAACUCCUGACCUUGUGAUCCGCCCGCCUCGGCCUCACAAAGUGCUGGGAUUACAGGCAUGAGCCACCGCGCCCAGCCAGGAAGCAAUUCUUAAUAUGCUUGCCUUCCUGUAGCCCUCUCCCUGGCUCAACUAACUCAGAUACCAGUGCCUACAGCCAAGGAUUCAAUGCAGAUGAAAACACACUUUCCAUCUCAUAAUGGUUAAACACCAGGGGAGGAAACUGCUCUAAGCGAUCCAACAGAAAAGGUGAAAAUAGAGCUAUCCAUUUAGGUUCCUACAUCCAGAUUUCCCCAUCCAUUGUAAGUUCUGAAACAUCAUUAAGAACCUUGACUUAGACUCCAUGACUUGAUUCAACAGAACAUUCUAGAAACUUUCUUCUAGUCUCUCCAUCCUAAAAAUGUAAUGAAAAUAAGGCAGGUGGCCAGGCACAGUGGCUCAUGCUUGUAAUCCCAACACAGGGAGACCCCGUCUCUACAAAUAAUUUAAAACUUAGCUGGGUGUGGUGGUGCACACCUGUGGUCCCAGCUACUCACGAGGCUAAGGCAGGAGGAUAACCUGAGCUGGGGAGGUUGAGGUUGCAGUGAGCCAUGAUUGUGCCACUGCACUCCAGGCUGGGCAACAGAGUGAGACCCUGUCUCAAAAAAAAGAAAAAAGAAAGAAAAUGAGAAAGGUCUUUUGGCUUUAUUGGAAUUGCCAUUACCUCUGUGGAUUUAAUAAGCUUCAAUUUAAGUGUUACAUUUCUCAUUUUACUUCCAAAUUAAUACUGACUGUUAAGGAGGCAGCCAGGGUAUGUGAGCCCAUAUCACUCAUGCUCCCAAUGUCAGGAAGGAGGAAGAUCUGUAACCCAAGAGAAGUUGCUAUGUGGUGUGUUAUCACAAGGGACUAGGAUAACAGAAAACCCUGAAAGUUAGGACAGUGCUGGAGACCGAGAUUUUUUUGCUAUCCUAAUGUCUUACAUGUUUUAAAUUUUACCCUUCCUCAAGAGACUUCUGUUUUGUUUUGUUUUCAGAACAGAUAGAAACAGGGUCUCAUUGUGUUGCCCAGGCUGCUCGAACCUCUGGGCUCAAGCUAUCGUCCUGCCUCAGCCUCCAAAGUGCUGUGAUUACAGGCGUGAGUCACUGUGCCCAGCAGAGACUUUGGAAAUGAUAACUUCACAGCCUCCUUUGUGGCACAUGAGAAAAAGUAUUGAAACUGAAAUGCAAGUGUGGGAGAACUUUAGUGCGAUAGGGUGAAAUGAGGGACAGGUGACACUGUCAACUUGGCUUCUGCCCCAAUCCUAUCUGCAAGUGCUUUGGUGUCAAACACUUCAGCCAAAUGUUUAACUGAAGUGUCCUUGGUGGGGAGCCCAUAGAAAUGGAUCAAAAAGCUCCUUGAGGCCGGGCGCGGUGGCUCACACCUGUAAUCGCAGCACUUUGGGAGGCCAAGGCAUGAGCCACCGCGCCUGGCCAAGGGUUAAUUUAUUAUUGAUGAAAAAAAUUUUUUUAUAAAUUUAGUGUAGCCUAAGUAUACAGUAUCUAUAAAAAGUCUACAGUAGUAUACGGUAAUGUCCUAGGCCGCCUAUUCACUCACCACUCACUCACUGACUCACCUAGAACAACUUCCAGUUCUGCAAGUUCCAUUCAUGGUAAGUGCCCUCAUACAGGUAUACCUUUUUUUUUCUCUUUUAUACUGUAUUUUUACUGUACCUUUUCUAUGUUUAGAUAUGUUUGGAUAUACAAAUUCUUACCAUUGUGUUACAAUUGCCUACAGUAUUCAGUACAGUAACCUGCUAUACAGGUUUGUAGCCUAGGAGCAAUAGGCUACACUAUAUAGACCAGGUGUCCGGUAGGCUAUACCAUCUAGGUUUGUAGAAGUAUACUCCAUGACGUUUGCACAACAACUAAACCACCUAAUGACACAUUUCUUGGAACAUAUCCCCAUCAUUAAGUAACACAUGACUGUAUUUUCUGUCUCGGUCCUUCUGACGUUUGAUAUUUCUUAGCUUUCUAUUUAUUUACUUUUUUAACUGCCAGUAUUUUUUAGAUUCUGUUUUCUGGCUUCUAGUCCCCAAAUUCCUAUCCUUCCACCAUAUUUCUGAAAGCUUUUAUGGUCACUAUUUCUCGAGCCCCAUAAGAUUACUAGAGGAGUGCUGAGAAAUGAGAUCCUUUUGAUCCGAUGACCUGGUAGGUAACAGAAAAUAAUGAAACUCUGAUGACUUGACUAGGGAUUCAACCCCUUACUGGCCUCUAAUUCCAGUAUCAAUGCUUCCCAUGUUCAACACCUUUUGGCUUUGAAGAGCCCCAGGCAAGUGACAAGUAGUCAUAGAAUAAACACCAAGAUGGAGAAAUGGAAAUGAUGGCAGGGUUUCUUCUAGUCCCAAUUGGUCUUAGUUAAUGAUAGGUUCAUCUGGCAUUUGGAAAGCAAGAAUGUUAUUUUAGACUGAAACGUCCCAGCUUUCUUCAAGUUGACCAACUAAAAAAGCUAGGGAAUUGGCCAGGCG
RNAcentral lists this long non-coding RNA (2655 nucleotides) under Homo sapiens (human). RNAcentral describes it as "HSALNT0128852". The record is from RNAcentral. Lineage: Eukaryota; Metazoa; Chordata; Mammalia; Primates; Hominidae.